Molecule: ribosomal RNA, 254 nt
Filed under: uncultured bacterium
Lineage: Bacteria
Description: partial 16S ribosomal RNA
Rfam family: Bacterial small subunit ribosomal RNA
Source: RNAcentral
CACGUAGGGUGCGAGCGUUGUCCGGAAUUAUUGGGCGUAAAGAGCUCGUAGGCGGUGUGUCGCGUCGGCCGUGAAAACCUGCAGCUUAACUGUGGGCUUGCGGUCGAUACGGGCAUCACUGGAGUUCGGCAGGGGAGACUGGAAUUCCUGGUGUAGCGGUGAAAUGCACAGAUAUCAGGAGGAACACCGGUGGCGAAGGCGGGUCUCUGGGCCGAUACUGACGCUGAGGAGCGAAAGCAUGGGUAGCGAACAGG